UACGUACGAGGCGAGCGUUAUCCGGAAUUACUGGGCGUAAAGCGCGCGCAGGUGGCGCGGUAAGUCGGACGUGAAAUCUCCCGGCCUAACUGGGAGGGGUCGUUCGAGACUGCCGGGCUUGAGGACUGCAGAGGUGGGUGGAAUUCCUGGUGUAGUGGUGAAAUGCGUAGAGAUCAGGAGGAACACCGGUGGCAAAGGCGGCCCACUGGGCAGUCACUGACGCUGAGGCGCGAAAGCUCGGGGAG
Molecule: ribosomal RNA, 245 nt
Filed under: uncultured bacterium
Lineage: Bacteria
Description: partial 16S ribosomal RNA
Rfam family: Bacterial small subunit ribosomal RNA
Source: RNAcentral